GUGCAGAAUGCAUUAGAAAUCACCGAAGCGUGCAACUAGAAUGGAUGGUGGCAAUUAUCUGGGCCUUUCUGUCAGGAAAAAGGCGUGAACAACAGUCAUUUAAUUGAACCCGGAAAUCAUCCACCACUAACAGAAAACUUGUUAACAACAGAAGCUGAUGUAUAUCAUGUCCAAAUGACCAAAUAUAACUGUUAAACACUUUGAAGUGGAAUAACCGACAGUAUUCACGCCGCGAAAAAGUGGCGACAACUUUUGUUGGGCCAGUGGAACCCCUGA
This is a long non-coding RNA of Dreissena polymorpha, 276 nucleotides long. RefSeq lists it as uncharacterized. Lineage: Eukaryota; Metazoa; Mollusca; Bivalvia; Myida; Dreissenidae. The record is from RefSeq and is a predicted model, not a curated record. The transcript is spliced from 3 exons.